GAAAUGCGUAGAUAUUUGGAGGAACACCAGUGGCGAAGGCGGCAUACUAGAUCGAUACUGACGCUCAGUCACGAAAGCGUGGGGAGCAAAUAGGAUUAGAUACCCUAGUAGUCCACGCUGUAAACGUUGAGAACUAAGUGUCGGGGAGACCCGGUGCUGAAGCUAACGCAUUAAGUUCUCCGCCUGAGGAGUACGCACGCAAGUGUGAAACUUAAAGGAAUUGACGGGGGCCCGCACAAGCAGUGGAGCAUGUGGUUUAAUUCGUGGCUACGCGAAGAACCUUACCAGGACUUGACAUGCCUCUAAAGACCUUAGAAAUAAGGGGAUAGUUAUAGCGGACACAGGUGGUGCAUGGUUGUCGUCAGCUCGUGUCGUGAGAUGUUCGGUUAAGUCCGGCAACGAGCGCAACCCUUGUCCUUAGUUGCCAGCAUUAAGUUGGGGUCUCUAAGGAGACCGCCGGUGUAAACCGGAGGAAGGUGGGGAUGACGUCAAAUCAUCAUGCCCUUUAUGUCCUGGGCGACACACGUGCUACAAUGGCCGUUACAAAGAGCAGCAAAACCGCGAGGUCAAGCAAAUCUCAUAAAGACGGUCUCAGUUCGGAUUGGAGUCUGCAACUCGACUCCAUGAAGUCGGAAUUGCUAGUAAUCGUAGAUCAGCCAUGCUACGGUGAAUACGUUCCCGGGCCUUGUACACACCGCCCGUCAAACCAUGAAAGCUGGUAAUACUCGAAGUCGGUAUCCUAACUUUGCAAAAAGAGGGAGCCGCCCAAGGUAGGAUCAGUAAUUGGGGUUAAGUCGUAACCAAGGUAACCGAAAGGGCGAAUUCGUAACUCG
This 833-nucleotide ribosomal RNA is filed under the name uncultured bacterium. RNAcentral describes it as "bacterial SSU rRNA". It matches the Rfam family "Bacterial small subunit ribosomal RNA", at positions 683 to 1533 of the family's 1533-position model. The record is from RNAcentral.